Molecule: non-coding RNA, 179 nt
Filed under: Ruegeria sp. TM1040
Lineage: Bacteria; Pseudomonadati; Pseudomonadota; Alphaproteobacteria; Rhodobacterales; Roseobacteraceae
Description: Ruegeria cis52 sRNA
Rfam family: Ruegeria cis52 sRNA
About the family: Cis-encoded. Targets oligo/dipeptide ABC transporter.
Source: Rfam by way of RNAcentral
UGCGCAGCGCGUGGCGCAGAACGAUGUUUGGAAAACUCACCCCCUUAAGGCGUGCAGUCCGGAUGUAUUGGGCCGUCAUCACUUCGGUCAUGGAGGCGCGUGUCAUCCGGGCGAUAUAGCCCAUGCCAUAGAGCGCGAUGGUCAGUACCGGCAGGAAGAAAUUCUCAAACGUCGGGUUC